CGGCGGACGGGUGAGUAAUGCCUAGGGAUCUGCCCAGUCGAGGGGGAUAACAGUUGGAAACGACUGCUAAUACCGCAUACGCCCUACGGGGGAAAGAGGGGGACCUUCGGGCCUCUCGCGAUUGGAUGAACCUAGGUGGGAUUAGCUAGUUGGUGAGGUAAUGGCUCACCAAGGCGACGAUCCCUAGCUGUUCUGAGAGGAUGAUCAGCCACACUGGGACUGAGACACGGCCCAGACUCCUACGGGAGGCAGCAGUGGGGAAUAUUGCACAAUGGGGGAAACCCUGAUGCAGCCAUGCCGCGUGUGUGAAGAAGGCCUUCGGGUUGUAAAGCACUUUCAGUAGGGAGGAAAGGGUGAGUCUUAAUACGGCUCAUCUGUGACGUUACCUACAGAAGAAGGACCGGCUAACUCCGUGCCAGCAGCCGCGGUAAUACGGAGGGUCCGAGCGUUAAUCGGAAUUACUGGGCGUAAAGCGUGCGCAGGCGGUUUGUUAAGCGAGAUGUGAAAGCCCUGGGCUCAACCUAGGAAUAGCAUUUCGAACUGGCGAACUAGAGUCUUGUAGAGGGGGGUAGAAUUCCAGGUGUAGCGGUGAAAUGCGUAGAGAUCUGGAGGAAUACCGGUGGCGAAGGCGGCCCCCUGGACAAAGACUGACGCUCAUGCACGAAAGCGUGGGGGGCAAACGGGAUUAGAUACCCUGGUAGUCCACGCCGUAAACGAUGUCUACU
This 725-nucleotide ribosomal RNA is filed under the name uncultured bacterium. RNAcentral describes it as "bacterial SSU rRNA". It matches the Rfam family "Bacterial small subunit ribosomal RNA", at positions 96 to 817 of the family's 1533-position model. The record is from RNAcentral.